Molecule: small nuclear RNA, 316 nt
Filed under: Chinchilla lanigera (long-tailed chinchilla)
Lineage: Eukaryota; Metazoa; Chordata; Mammalia; Rodentia; Chinchillidae
Description: 7SK RNA (ENSCLAG00000021797.1)
Rfam family: 7SK RNA
About the family: 7SK was discovered as an abundant small nuclear RNA in the mid-70s but a possible function has only recently been suggested. Two independent studies have found that 7SK RNA binds the CDK9/cyclin T complex (known as elongation factor P-TEFb).
Source: RNAcentral
GGAUGUGUGGUAUCUCAGAGCCUAUCGAUUACCAGGGCUUGCUCAGCUGAACUGAUUGGGUAGCUGGGUGUCCCCUCCUGCCUCACUGCGCCAUGUGCAUCCCUGCUGGUGGAAGAGGAAGAGGACAACCUUGUCUGAUAGAAGAAGACUGCUUCCUCAACCAAAGUUACUAAUAGUAGCUGCACUGCCCUGAGGGAACCUCUAAACAAGCACUCAAGUCACUAAUAGUAGCUGCACUGCCCUGAGGGAACCUCUAAACAAGCACUCAAGUAGGCAAAACCUCUUCACAUAGCUCUAAAAAUGGCAGUUAUACGUG